RNAcentral lists this ribosomal RNA (254 nucleotides) under uncultured bacterium. RNAcentral's name for it is "partial 16S ribosomal RNA". It matches the Rfam family "Bacterial small subunit ribosomal RNA", at positions 524 to 776 of the family's 1533-position model. The record is from RNAcentral.
UACGGGGGGAGCAAGCGUUGUUCGGAUUUACUGGGCGUAAAGGGCGCGUAGGCGGUCAGCACAAGUCAAUUGUGAAAUCUCCGAGCUUAACUCGGAAAGGUCAACUGAAACUGUGCGACUAGAGUGCGGAAGGGGCAACUGGAAUUCUUGGUGUAGCGGUGAAAUGCGUAGAUAUCAAGAGGAACACCUGCGGCGAAGGCGGGUUGCUGGGCCAACACUGACGCUGAUGCGCGAAAGCCAGGGGAGCAAACGGG